GCUUUGCUGACGAGUGGCGGACGGGUGAGUAAUGUCUGGGAAACUGCCUGAUGGAGGGGGAUAACUACUGGAAACGGUGGCUAAUACCGCAUAACGUCGCAAGACCAAAGAGGGGGACCUUCGGGCCUCUUGCCAUCAGAUGUGCCCAGAUGGGAUUAGCUUGUUGGUGAGGUAACGGCUCACCAAGGCGACGAUCCCUAGCUGGUCUGAGAGGAUGACCAGCCACACUGGAACUGAGACACGGUCCAGACUCCUACGGGAGGCAGCAGUGGGGAAUAUUGCACAAUGGGCGCAAGCCUGAUGCAGCCAUGCCGCGUGUAUGAAGAAGGCCUUCGGGUUGUAAAGUACUUUCAGCGGGGAGG
This 362-nucleotide ribosomal RNA is filed under the name Salmonella enterica subsp. enterica serovar Derby. Its description in RNAcentral is "bacterial SSU rRNA". It matches the Rfam family "Bacterial small subunit ribosomal RNA", at positions 82 to 447 of the family's 1533-position model. Lineage: Bacteria; Pseudomonadati; Pseudomonadota; Gammaproteobacteria; Enterobacterales; Enterobacteriaceae. RNAcentral also lists the same sequence under 2 other names. The record is from RNAcentral.